RNAcentral lists this long non-coding RNA (1901 nucleotides) under Triticum aestivum (bread wheat). Its description in RNAcentral is "long non-coding RNA (TAES_LNC011703)". The record is from RNAcentral. Lineage: Eukaryota; Viridiplantae; Streptophyta; Magnoliopsida; Poales; Poaceae.
UUGUUUUCCCUUUAUUAGGGAAUGCGUUCUCAUGUUAACAAUAGUAGUAGUACCAAACUCCCUGUUCUUUUAAGAGUUUCACCUCAAGAUAAGUCCUACUAACCUAAUCUCUGCUCUCCUUGCUUCUUUGAUGAAUCCCCUAGAGAAGAAUUGUCAAGCCGACACUGCAACAAGAUACCUGCCCCAUAACAGAGAUGUAGCCGGACCAUGUCCAGUAGUUCAACUCCCAAGAUAUUUUAAGUAAAUACCGACGUUGUUCAUCAAGUACUCCCUCCGUUCCUAAAUGUAAGUCUUUGUAGAGAUUCCACUGGAUGGACUACAUACGGAGCAAAAUGAAUGAAUCCACACUUAAAAUGCAUCUAUAUACAUCCGUAUGUAGUUCAUAGUAGAAUCUCUACAAAGACUUACAUUUAGGAAUGGAGGGAGUAGAAAGGAUUACAGUACAAUUACUUCUCAAAUACAGUAUUAUAACUGAAUUGUUGCUGGCAAUCAUAAACUACGAGGGAACUUAGCUAGCACCAAGAUGAACUACGAUAAAUUUCUAACCAGUUCAGCGGAAUGAUUUGUGAUUGGUGCUACUGAUUUGUUUGCUGCUACCAUAUGAUGGUUGAACUGUAGCUGAUCAACUGAUAGUUGAAUUGGCAGUUAUGAGAGAAUAUAGACAAUCUGCUGAAAAACUGAUUGUGUAUAUCAAAGAAUCUUUUUAGACCAAUGUGUAUAUGAAAAUUUAGACAACCAAAUUUAGACAUGCUAUUGAAGAUGCUCUUAGUACUAGCGCCGAAGGGUUUCUGUUGACAUGUAAGAGCAUCUCUAGCAGAUCCCUUAUUCUAAAAGUGCACAACAGAGGCACCAAGAGGAUAGCUUGCGCUCCCCCACGGGCGCCCUCGCCUACCUCACCUACCACAUUCACCGCCACCGCCCCCACCUUCGUCGAUGUGGUGUCUGGGUGGGUGCUUCCGUGCGUCGCCUUGCAUGAUCCAACAGUGGAGACCAUUCUAAGCAACUUCAUUGACCAGGUCUCCAGGCGGAUCUUGCCAUGUGUGGCAUUGAAGGAGGGUGUGGUGCGCGCAGCUGGCAAGUUCCCCUGAGCCCGCUCCUCCUUCAUGCCGUCUUGAAGCUGUGUAGCCACCCCCUUCAGUCUGCCAUGCGCCGGUUGGGGAAACUGCUGCCCCUAUGCCGGAGGGGCGUGCCCUGCCCGCCAGUCCUGUGACGAGGCCCCGUCUGCGCUCGGUGGUUAUUGCCCCUGCCACUUAGGAUGGCAGCCACCUACCGCGGAGAUCCAGCCAUAAAGAGAUCGACUGGGUUUAUACGCCCAGCUUAGGAUCCCCUACCUCGAGAUCUGCCAGUUUAGGUUCUGUCAUAUCGUGUCCUCGAUUAAUCCGACUGAUGGAAUCCUCCUUGCGGGUGCCCACACCGACUGAUAAACCCCCCUGUUACUAGCAUUGCCUUGGGCUGUAAAGAUCAUGAGUUUCGGCCUCCAUGGACCUUAGCUGGAUAAUAUAUCGCCGUGGGCCUACCCCGUGGGAGAUAACCUCAUCAGAACAGAGGUCAUCAUAAGGUAACGUUUCAGGAAAUACAAAAAUGCAAUAACUGGAACUAACUACUGCAAAUCAUCAUGCCCGAAUAGCAUGUUCAGAAUGCCAAUUACGACUGACUUGGACGUGCCUGAGUUGAGCCAUUGGUGGUUCAUACUUCAUAGUCCAUAGCUUUUUUAGCUCAGUGUUACGUCAAGACAUUACAGAACCUAUCUUAAAUUAAUAAAAAGGGCAAGAAGAAUAGAUGUAAGUUAAUCUACUAUGAUGCUCAAUUUGCAGAAGGGCAGUGAGUUCAGACCUUGGUGCAGUAGGCAGGUCACUUGAGAUAGUUAGCACAAAUCAUCACACUCGGCAGGUCAUCAUCAG